This is an RNA transcript of Triticum aestivum (bread wheat), 5112 nucleotides long. It is a transcript of the gene named disease resistance protein RPM1, with no coding region annotated. The record is from RefSeq and is a predicted model, not a curated record. The transcript is spliced from 9 exons. Lineage: Eukaryota; Viridiplantae; Streptophyta; Magnoliopsida; Poales; Poaceae.
AGCUGUCUCCGCGGCCUUCGCGCCUCUCUCAUUCUCCGGCCCCAGUUCCACCGCCGUCCGCCUCAUUCGGCCCGAGGUCCAAGCCGCGCAGCUCUCCGCUGCCGCCGUCCAGCUUCUCCGGCCCCCCUCAGCUCCCUGGCCUGUGCGUCCUACAUACCUCGGUGAUGCUUUGACGCCUCACCAACCAUGGCGGAGGCUGUGGUAGGGCAGGUGGUGGUCAAGCUUGGUGCGGCGCUGGCGAAAGACGCGCUCACGUUUGGCGCAAAACUGCUAUGGAAGGAAGCCUCCGCCCUCAGGGACCUCUUCGGCAAGAUCCGUGACUCCAAGGCAGAGCUGGAGAGCAUGCAGGCCUACCUGCAGGAGGCGGAGCGGUUCAAGGACACUGAUAGGACAACCGCCAUCUUCGUCGGCCAGAUCAGGGGCCUCGCCUUUCAGAUCGAGGACGUCGUCGACGAGUUCACCUACAAGCUGGAGGAGGAGAAGCAUGGGGGCUAUGCCGCCAAGAUGAAGAAGAGGCUGAAGCAUAUCAGGACAUGGCGCCGCCUGGCGGCCAAGCUCCAAGAUAUCCAAGCCAAGCUGCAGGAUGCUAAGCGGAGGAAGAAGGAUUACUCAAUUGACAGAUUUGUUUCUGCGGCCAGAUCGACGAAUCAAGCUCUGCAUUUCACCAGGGAUGAGGACCUUGUGGGGAUUGAGGAGAACAGGGAAAGGCUGAUACGGUGGCUGACCGGCGGAGGCGGUGGUGCUGAUGGUCUGGAGCAGAGGACCAGCAAAGUCACCACGGUGUGUGGGAUGCCUGGUGUUGGCAAGACCACUCUGGUUGCUCAUGUGUACAACACCGUGAAGGUGGAUUUCGACGCCGCUGCAUGGGUAACCGUGUCGCAGAAUUACCGUCUUGAAGACCUGCUGAAGAAGAUCGCCACAGAGUUCGGGGUCGCAGUUGAUAUCGCCAACAUUGAGAUGAGAGGCCUAGCAGAAUCCAUCCAUAACUACCUUCAAGGUAAAAAGUACAUCUUGGUCCUGGAUGAUGUCUGGACUGCACGCGUGUGGACAGAGAUAAGGAAUGUCUUCCCAACAUCUGAUCGUACCGGCCGAUUUGUCAUAACAUCAAGAAAGCAGGAAGUGUCGUUGUUGGCAACUAGGGAGUCUGCAAUUCAGUUGGAACCGCUACAAGAACGUCACUCUUGGUUGUUAUUCUGCCAAGGAGCUUUUUGGAAUGAUGACGACAAAGAGUGCCCGCUGGAGUUGCACAAAUUAGCGGUGAAGUUCAUUGCAAAGUGUCAAGGUUUGCCUAUUGCUCUUGCAUGCAUUGGCCGCCUACUCUCCAGCAAACUCCCAAAUUUUGCCGAAUGGGAGAAUGUGUACAGGGGUUUGGAUUCACAGUUGGUGAAAGACAUGCUCCCUGAUGUUGAUAUGAUUCUAAAGGUCAGCCUGGACGACCUUCCAUAUGAUUUGAAGAAUUGUUUCUUAUACUGUGCAUUAUUCCCAGAAGAUUAUGUAUUAAAGAGGAAGACGAUAAUGAGGCAGUGGAUUGCUGCUGGAUUUAUCAGGGAAAAGGAAGGGAACAGAACCUUGGAGGAAGUGGCCGAGGGAUACUUGGUUGAGCUCGUGAACCGAAGCCUACUGCAGGUAAUGGAGAGCAAUCAUGCCGGAUCACUGAAAUCCUACCGGAUGCAUGAUGUCAUACGCCUGCUUGCCCUCAACAAAGCCAAAGAGGAAUGCUUUGGUGAAGUUUGUAAUGGCUCUGCUGCCGGGGCAUUUUCUGCAGAGUGUGUACGUCGCAUAUUUGUCCAAGGGGAAAACCUUGAGCAGCUGAGACGAUCUGGUGCGACACAUAUCCGUGCGCUCCAUGUAUUUAAAUAUAGCAAUGUUGAUUUGCUGAAGCUUAUCCUAACAUCUUCAAAUUUGCUGUCAACAUUGGAUCUGCAAGGUUCUCGUGUCAAAAUGCUUCCCAAUGAGGUAUUCGACUUGUUUAAUCUGCGUUAUUUGGGACUUAGGGAUACCGAUAUUGAAAGCCUACCUGAAGCAGUGGGGAGGUUACAAAACUUGGAAGUCUUGGAUGCUACCAACGCUAAUCUGACGUAUUUGCCGAACAGUGUUGUAAAACUUCAGAAGUUGAGAUACCUGUAUGCAUAUACUGUUCCUGGUACAUUAGAGUCAUUAGAAAUUUUCAGGGUAGGUGGAGUCAACGUGCCUAAUGGAAUACAGCACUUGGCAGGAUUGCGUGCUCUCGAGUGUGUCAAAGCCACUCCAGUGUUUCUGCGUGAAGUUAGAGCUUUGACAGAGCUAAGAACAUUCACUGUGUGCAAUGUGAGAAGUGAACACUCUGCUGACUUGAGCAAUGCUAUCUCUAAAAUGAGCCAUCUUGUUCAUCUCGGAAUUGCCGCUGCAGCUGAGAAUGAGGUGCUGCGGUUUGAAGGGCUAUAUUUACCUCUAACCCUGUCUUGGCUUGGUUUAGCAGGACAGCUAGAAAAAACAUCGAUGCCAAAGCUUCUCUCUUCUUGGUCACACCUUAAUAGCCUCACUUGCUUGACCCUGGGAUUCUCCAAUAUUGAUGAGGACACAUUUUCCUGUUUGUGCGUGUUACAUGGUCUACGCUCUCUUGGGCUAAUGAAGGCUUUUGAAGGGAAGAGGUUGGACUUUUACGCAGGCUCAUUUCCAAAACUUCAGUUUCUACACAUAUGGGGCGCGGCACAGCUCAACCAAGUUAGAAUAGAGAAGGGCGCAAUGCAAAACCUCGUCGUGCUAUUGUUCAUGUACUGUCCCGAGUUGAAGUUUCUUCCAGAUGGUAUCGAAUAUCUUAGGGCCCUUGAAAAAUUACGUCUGGAGGACACAUCAGAAGAAUUGAUUGAGAAACUCCGGCGACAGAGAGAUUCAGAUGAAUGCAAUGAAGAUAUAAUGAAGAUUAGCCACAUAAGGAAUGUUACAGUUGAACUGACUCGGAAAGGACUGUUUGAAAGGAUUAGGUGAUCAUCCCUGCUCCAAGGUUCUGCUCUGUUAUGCAACAAUGCCGGUUCCAUCAUCUUCUCAUGGGAUUCUCAACACAGAAUUCAACAGUUUCAAGGCAAAAGGGCACUUUUCGGUACUUUGGAGGAGUUCCUAACAUAUCUCCUCCUGUGUUAAGGCUUUGAUGGGGCGAGAAGAAUUUAAUCCCAGCAGCCUGUCAGGUGUUUGCACUUGUUGCAUCUGUUUCUCGAUGAGUUGUUAAAUCUGGGCUAUUCCUGUUUCUGAUAAAUACGACAUCAGCUGUGGGUCUGAAAGGAAAAUACAUAUUUCCAUGCAUGACUCUGGCGAUUUCUUAAUUAGCUGCAAAGAAGAAAAAGAAUAAUAAGUUUGCAUACUUGGCUGUGCGCAAUCCCCAAGGGGAGAACAGAACAUGAGAGGCUCUCGAUGGUGCCAAUGCGUGUGUCUCAUUCCACAUUUCAUCGUGUGAAAUGAGUAUUCCGCUCAUCAGCUAGUUGAGGUUUCCGUUGCCUACCUGCUUCCUUUGGCAUGGUGAAAUUUGAUCGUGAGAGCAUGCAAAUGUGCUGCUAAAAACUCAAUCUGGAAUUCACGACGUUGCUGUUAUUAAUGACUAUUCAAUUUCGUUAUGAAAUGGGGAAGCUGAGCUAUGUUUCUGUUAUCGGAAAACUUGUCUUAUUCGUCUCAUCGGAAGUUGAAUAUAUGGCAAUCUUUAUUGGAGCUGCAGGUUGGAUUUCCAGUACCCGAGGACCUUGCCUUUGAAGAUGGUCUGAUGGAUGCUAAUGAUCUGGUACGUAGUACUACUAUUACCCCUGAUUCCUGCUUUGGCAAGAUGUAAGCACCGUUGGCAAAAGAACAUCGGAAGGGCUAGGGCGAAAAACGCAGGCACCAAUGGAGAGGCUUUUGCAGAGGAGCUUCACUGGCAGGACUCCAAGAGAAGUUCAUGUGUGAAAUACUACAGAAAUAUCAGUAAGUUCCUUCCUUGGAUAUGCAGCAAACAAACAUUUCAGGCAAGCUGGGUACUAAUUGCUGUAGAGCAACAUCAAAGUAUAGAGGACCAAAUUGAGAUUUUCAGACUCAAGAGUUGAACUCCAGUACAUAGGGGAUCCAGGAAUGAUCAUAACCUGGAGACAUAGAGAGAGCUUGAGCUGCUACUUGACCAGCGGCAGGAGGUGCCCUCUCUCUCAUUCAGACUUCAGAGGGCCCAGCGCCAGCUACACAUCCCCGUCGACCGUCGUACCGGCCCAAGGUCAAGAGACGCAGCGCGCACCUGAUUCCGGUGGCCACCACCGUGGCCGUUGGAGAAGUGGCACUAGGUUAGGUGCAGCCGGAGCAGGCCAACCAAGACUCCUCCCGGAGAGGCGCAUCCAUCGAACGCACGGAGUUGUCUGGCGGCGGCAGCGUACGAGGAGCGGUGGUGGUGGUGGCGGAGAGGUGUCACCGUCGGGGGGAUCUCGGGUCUCCUGGAGUGAACAACGAAGAAAUAGUCGUGUUCUGGACUGAAUUAGGACUUCCAAGGCUGUUUUUUCCCUGCAGAACAAGGAACAGAAGUUAACAUCUGACGAUUUUAUAUUGGCUUUGCCAAGUGAACAAUCAAUCAGGCGACAGACUCUACAAAUAUUCCGUGGGUUCAUCAGGCAAAGUUCAGAAAUUUCAGAGAAACGACUUCAGAUUCAGACUCAGAGUUGAAUGUAGGCUGGAGAUUCAGGAUCAUAGCCAGAUAGCCUCCACAGCAAUCAAUCCCGGCAUCGCAAGCUUCGGCAAAGAUAGUAUGGCAUUUCAGACAGUCGUCCUUGUGGUGCAAGUAGGAAUGCUCAGCUCAAGAAGACGGCGAGGCAUGGGAUGCUGUCAAAAUGAGGCGUAUAUGUGCUUAUGUGUUCACCAGGCGACCAUUCAAAGGUCGCUAGAAUACGGGACAAUCUCUAUUAUGGAGGGCUCUAGUCGAUCAACACAUCCAGACUGCGUAUUAAUAGACACGUCAAUAACCAUUGUACCAUUGGUAGCAUCUCAAGAGCCUAGAAACUUGUACAUUGUAAUCUCAACUGUUUUCUCUAGCUUUCCUUUUGUUGGGAUUCGCCCACAGGAUCGAUUACAUCAAAUCACGAUGAACACGCACACAAAAACUUUUACCAAAGGCACGUGUCGUGUCUUUUU